Oreochromis aureus is the source of this 415-nucleotide long non-coding RNA. RefSeq lists it as uncharacterized. The record is from RefSeq and is a predicted model, not a curated record. NCBI's taxonomy places the organism in Eukaryota, Metazoa, Chordata, Actinopteri, Cichliformes, Cichlidae. The transcript has 4 exons.
UCUGCUGGUGAGACGAUGUGUUCACAGGAAACCUGAAGAUGGAAAAGAAGCUGAAGAAGAUGACAUCAUCACUUAUGUCAUGUACUGUGAUGUCAAAACAUCAGAACUUAAAAAAACGGAAGAAUCAGAAGACGCAGAGACAGAAAUUCAGCUGCAGUCGACUCAGCAGUGAGAACUGAAGACGUCAGUUAUGAACAAACAUACAUCAGAAUAAGGAGGCCCAGACUUUAAACCAGAGCCAGACGUCGUCUAAUCUUCCAGUCCAACCACUGACGCCCAACUGCUGGUCUCUAACUGGUCUCCCCAGCACCUCAGACCAGAGGACAUCCACAUCUUAUUUAUAAUUUUUAAUUUCCUCUAUAACAUGUAAAAGCGUUCCGUAUCAGUUCUCUGCAGGAUCAAUAAACUCAGUCAA